CUAGCAAAGCUGCCAGCAUGUUCUCUGGGACCCAAGAAAAAUGUGCUUCUUGCAGUAAAACAGUGUAUCCGUUGGAGAAGGUUGGAUCCAAGCAUUCAAUAAGUCAUAUCGUAUUGUGAUAUUGUGUGUGGAGAGUUACAAUCUCCCCUCCCCCCCCCCCCCCCCCCCCCCCCCCGCCCCCCCUCCUUCAAAUUGUAUCUCCCAUUGCUCUCCUUUUCCUCUGUUCCCUGUAAACCUAGGUCGUUUGUUAGGGUUUAUUAUAUUAUAUGCUUG
RNAcentral lists this long non-coding RNA (273 nucleotides) under Citrus maxima (pomelo). RNAcentral describes it as "long non-coding RNA (CMAX_LNC002934)". The record is from RNAcentral. Lineage: Eukaryota; Viridiplantae; Streptophyta; Magnoliopsida; Sapindales; Rutaceae.